GGCCAAUGGAGAAGACUAGGACUAUGCAGAGAUGAUCCUUGAGGAACAGAACUAGGAGACGUUAUCACUGGAAGACUGGAACUGAUCAUCAAGUGGAUCAUCCAGAGAGAUGCUCUGAUUCAGAUCCAGAAACAGGUUGCUCAGUGCAGGAAAACCAUGAAAAAAGGAGAACCAAGCAGGCAACCAAGACUAGCCCCUCCUGAGAUGAGUAACACAGAGGUCCUGCAUCCACCAUCUUCUGAUGAUGAUGUCAAUCAUACUUGCCA
Lampris incognitus (smalleye Pacific opah) is the source of this 266-nucleotide long non-coding RNA. RefSeq lists it as uncharacterized. The transcript has 3 exons. NCBI's taxonomy places the organism in Eukaryota, Metazoa, Chordata, Actinopteri, Lampriformes, Lampridae. The record is from RefSeq and is a predicted model, not a curated record.